UCGGUAUAAAACACGGCGAAUUGACCUGUUUAAGGUCCGUAGACAGAAGGCUUGAACAGGGGGUUGUACAAGAUACCGGCACAUGUAAAGCGCAUGCGUACGCGUGCGCAGUGCUAUGCUAGUGGUCGGAAGAUGGCGUUGAGUAUGUUCGACUCGGAGACUGCUGCAGUGCACUGGAAAAAUCGUGUUUAAUCUCCGUUUUAGAAAAUGAAAGAUUUGGGGGUGACAAACCUGCUUCAGGAGUGGGACUUCCCACAUUUAGUUCCAAUCUUUAGAGUUAAAUGUUGCAGAAGAUGAGCACGAAGAAGACACCUACUGGAUGCAAUAUUACUCAUCACCUGACAACAUUGUUGUUAAUGUGACGAACCUCGGUACCGAGAUAUGAGUUGACUAGAGGAAACCCGCGACCAAGCACAGCAGAAAUUCUUGACAAAUAUCUACAGCUUUUGGGAAUGAUUGAUCAAGACUUUGAUUUAACAAUUGAUGCAGCUCCUGGUGCCCUUUUCACAAUGUGGCCAAAGUUGUCCAGGCAGACUUUGGAAUUU
This is a long non-coding RNA of Lytechinus variegatus (green sea urchin), 545 nucleotides long. RefSeq lists it as uncharacterized. Lineage: Eukaryota; Metazoa; Echinodermata; Echinoidea; Temnopleuroida; Toxopneustidae. The record is from RefSeq and is a predicted model, not a curated record. The transcript has 3 exons.